RNAcentral lists this ribosomal RNA (321 nucleotides) under uncultured bacterium. RNAcentral's name for it is "bacterial SSU rRNA". It matches the Rfam family "Bacterial small subunit ribosomal RNA", at positions 169 to 507 of the family's 1533-position model. The record is from RNAcentral.
CCGGAUGUCUUCUUCUGAUCGCAUGGUCGGAUGAAGAAAGAUUUAUCGCUUCGGGAGGGUCUCGCGGCCUAUCAGCUAGUUGGCGGGGUAACGGCCCACCAAGGCGUCGACGGGUAGCUGGUCUGAGAGGACGAUCAGCCACACUGGGACUGAGACACGGCCCAGACUCCUACGGGAGGCAGCAGUGGGGAAUAUUGCGCAAUGGGCGAAAGCCUGACGCAGCAACGCCGCGUGCGGGAUGAAGGCCUUCGGGUUGUAAACCGCUUUCAGUGGGGACGAAUUCAGACGGUACCCACAGAAGAAGCCCCGGCCAACUACGUG